This 615-nucleotide long non-coding RNA is filed under the name Manihot esculenta (cassava). RNAcentral describes it as "long non-coding RNA (MESC_LNC000648)". The record is from RNAcentral. Lineage: Eukaryota; Viridiplantae; Streptophyta; Magnoliopsida; Malpighiales; Euphorbiaceae.
UUCCGUGACAACACCAUGGUUGACAAAGUAUCUCCAUGCGUAGAUAGUAUACCCUCCAUCACAACCAUCUCCGCACAUAAAUCCACAGCAUGCCAAGAGAUCAUUGACAGACAAAGAUAUGUUCUGCAGUAAAAUAAAAUCUCGUUUGUAAUGGACAUUAUAAGUAGUCAACUUGCUCAAGAUAUUCAGUUACCAAGCCAAAAUGGAUGCAAAAGCGAUCAGAUAGUGAUUCAACAGCACCAAACGCCCAACAAGAUCCACAAUGACCCUGGAAUAUAAAACACAGAUGUGUUGAGAACAUGUAGAGCACACUUGAAAAAGAAAAAAAAAGAACAAGAAAAAGAAGACAACAAGAUCUACCUGAUCUUUUAUUAGAAAUUGACCCAGCAUUUUGCCACAUGAUGAGGAAAGCAUCAGCACCUUGAUAAAAGGAAAAAAAAUUCGAGAAAAAAAAAAAGUACAGAACCAAGUAAGCAACUGACCUAGAAUUCUUCCAAUGGUGCUACAUUGUGGCCAAGCUUUUCUUGCAUCAAAUUCUUUCGGCAAUUUCAAGGAUUUUAGACGACCUAUAACAGGAACACCCCUCAAUUCCUUUUUGGGAGUUGGCUUGGCUCC